Molecule: long non-coding RNA, 1023 nt
Filed under: Phascolarctos cinereus (koala)
Lineage: Eukaryota; Metazoa; Chordata; Mammalia; Diprotodontia; Phascolarctidae
Description: lncRNA (ENSPCIG00000015162.2)
Source: RNAcentral
AUGAAGACUGGGGGGAGGGGGCAAGGGGAGGAGGGUGGAAAAAAAUGCACCGUUGAAGGGAGAGUGGAAACUGACACCGGCCCCAAAAUGGCUCAGAGUCCGCCCGCCCCCUCCCCCGCGGCCCCCUCCCCCUCGGGUCACGUGCUCCCCUCAUUCCUUAAGGGCGGCCUGGGAAUUAGUGUCGGUGUAGUCGGGGCCCCGCGGCCGCCGCCGGCCUCCCCCCGGCUGCCCCCUCCCGCUCCUCCUCCCCUCCCCCCGCCUUCCCCUCUCCACCACCUCUCGGCCUCCUCCUCCUCCUCCUCCUCCCCCUUCCUCCCUCCCUCCCUCGCACACUGCGCGGCGGCGGCGGCGGCGGCGCUGGCUGGCUGGCGCUGGCUGCUGCUGCCGGGAGACAUUUCUCCACAGCGCCACACACGCCACCCGCUCCGGGUGCGCAGUCCGCUCGGGCCCCGCACGCCGCCGCUCGCCGGCCUCCUCUUCCCCCUCCCCCGGGAGCCGUGGGCCGCCCCUUCCCGACUCGCGGGCGGCUCGGUCGCCUUGGCCCCGCGCGCCCGCAGACACUGUCUCCCGCCAAGGAAAGUGCCCGGUCCCCGCCACGCCUCCCGGGGCGCGGGUUGCGGCCCGGCCCGGCCCAGCCCGCGGGGGCCCAGUCGCCCCAAGGGCACCGCCUCUCCGGGAUCAACCGCCCGCACCCCGGAGGGGGCUGCGAAGAUGUUGGGGGGGGUCCCUGGGUCCCCCCGCCCGGCGCGCACGCGCAGGACGGCCGUUCCCCUCGGGAUCCGGGCUCCCUCGAGGGGGGCCCUAGCGAGGGCGGGGGUCGGGGAGAGGGCGGGGUCCGAGGCGCGCGGUCAAAUUUCCCGCUCUGGAUCUGGUCCAUUGGAAACUGAGGGGGUGAUGCCAAGUCGUCCGUCGCCCCCCCACCCCAGGCCUCCAGAGGCACCUCGGGGUGGGUCGGCUUUUGACAGACAUCACCCGGGAGGAGAAGGGUCUGCUGGAGUUAGCCCCCGCCCGAGGGCUGCUUGA